Molecule: long non-coding RNA, 2438 nt
Filed under: Homo sapiens (human)
Lineage: Eukaryota; Metazoa; Chordata; Mammalia; Primates; Hominidae
Description: HSALNT0140103
Source: RNAcentral
AAAGUUCAAAAACAGGAGGAAGAUGUCAAUGUUAGAAAAAGGCCAAGGAUGGAUAUAGAAACAAAUGACACUUUCAGUGAUGAAGCAGUACCAGAAAGUAGCAAAAUAUCUGUACAAAAUCAACAUGCAAAAGAAGAGUCUCUUGCUGAUGAUCUUUUUAGAUACAAUCCUUAUUUAAAAAGGAGAAGAUAACUGAGGAUUUUAAAAAGAAGCCAUGGAAAAACUUCCUAGUAAGCAUCUACUUCAGGCCAACAAGGUUAUAUGAAUAUAUAGUGUAUAGAAGCGAUUUAAGUUACAAUGUUUUAUGGCCUAAAUUUAUUAAAUAAAAUGCACAAAACUUUGAUUCUUUUGUAUGUAACAAUUGUUUGUUCUGUUUUCAGGCUUUGUCAUUGCAUCUUUUUUUCAUUUUUAAAUGUGUUUUGUUUAUUAAAUAGUUAAUAUAGUCACAGUUCAAAAUUCUAAAUGUACGUAAGGUAAAGACUAAAGUCACCCUUCCACCAUUGUCCUAGCUACUUGGUUCCCCUCAGAAAAAAAUUCAUGAUACUCAUUUCUUAUGAAUCUUUCCAGGGAUUUUUGAGUCCUAUUCAAAUUCCUAUUUUUAAAUAAUUUCCUACACAAAUGAUAGCAUAACAUAUGCAGUGUUCUACACCUUGCUUUUUUACUUAGUAGAUUAAAAAUUAUAGGAAUAUCAAUAUAAUGUUUUUAAUAUUUUUUCUUUUCCAUUAUGCUGUAGUCUUACCUAAACUCUGGUGAUCCAAACAAAAUGGCUUCAGUGGUGCAGAUGUCACCUACAUGUUAUUCUAGUACUAGAAACUGAAGACCAUGUGGAGACUUCAUCAAACAUGGGUUUAGUUUUCACCAGAAUGGAAAGACCUGUACCCCUUUUUGGUGGUCUUACUGAGCUGGGUGGGUGUCUGUUUUGAGCUUAUUUAGAGUCCUAGUUUUCCUACUUAUAAAGUAGAAAUGGUGAGAUUGUUUUCUUUUUCUACCUUAAAGGGAGAUGGUAAGAAACAAUGAAUGUCUUUUUUCAAACUUUAUUGACAAGUGAUUUUCAAGUCUGUGUUCAAAAAUAUAUUCAUGUACCUGUGAUCCAGCAAGAAGGGAGUUCCAGUCAAGAGUCACUACAACUGAUUAGUUGUUUAGAGAAUGAGAAAUGGAACAGUGAGGAAUGGAGGCCAUAUUUCCAUGACUUCCCUUGUAAACAGAAGCAACAGAAGGGACAAGAGGCUGGCCUCUACAUCACUCUCACCUUCCAAAUCUUGUGGAAGUGCAUCUACUUGCCAGAACCAAAUUAACUUACUUCCAAGUUCUGGCUGCUUGCAGGUGGAACUCCAGCUGCAAGGGAGUUAGGGAAAUGAAGGUCUUUUUUUAAAAGCUUCUCAGCCUUCCUAGGGAACAGAAAUUGGGUGAGCCAAUCUGCAAUUUCUACUACAGGCAUUGAGACCAGUUAGAUUAUUGAAAUAUUAUAGAGAGUUAUGAACACUUAAAUUAUGAUAGUGGUAUGACAUUGGAUAGAACAUGGGAUACUUUAGAAGUAGAAUUGACAGGGCAUAUUAGUUGAUGAAAUGGAGUCAUUUGAGUCUCUUAAUAGCCAUGUAUCAUAAUUACCAAGUGAAGCUGGUGGAACAUAUGGUCUCCAUUUUACAGUUAAGGAAUAUAAUGGACAGAUUAAUAUUGUUCUCUGUCAUGCCCACAAUCCCUUUCUAAGGAAGACUGCCCUACUAUAGCAGUUUUUAUAUUUGUCAAUUUAUGAAUAUAAUGAAUGAGAGUUCUGGUACCUCCUGUCUUUACAAAUAUUGGUGUUGUCAGUAUUUUUCCUUUUUAACCAUUCCAAUCGGUGUGUAGUGAUGUUUCAUUUUGGUUUUAAUUUGUAUAUCCCUGAUAGCUAUAAUUGGGUCAUAGAAAUUCUUUAUACAUUCUAGAUGCAAGUCUCUUGUCGGAUAUAUGUAUUGAGAUAUUACACCUAGUCUGUGGCUUGACUGUUUUCUUUAUGUCUUUUGAUGAAUAGAAGUUUUAAAUUUUGACAAGGUCAAAUUUAUUUUUUUCUUUUGUUUGAUAUUUUUUCUCUCCAAUUUAACCCCAAGAUUUCAGAUAUUCUGCUCUAUUAUAUAAACUUUAUAUUUUUAUAUUUGUGAUCUACCUUGAAUUGAUAUGUAUGUUGUGAAUUAUGGAUCAGGGUUCUUUUUUUCCCCCAUACAAGUAUCCAGUCAUUGUAACACUGUUUAUUGAAAGAAUUAUCCUUUCCUCAUUAAAUUACCUUGCCAAUUAGUAAAAAAUCAAUUAACCAUAAUGGUGGAUCUGUUUCUGGACUUUCUGUUUGGUUACACUGAAAUGUUUGUCCAUCCUUGCACUCACUCAUACCAUACUGCCUUGAAUUACUGUAGCUGCAUAGAUGCUCCUUAAGUUGGGAUUACAUUGUAAUAAACGCAAUGUAAGUU